This 274-nucleotide ribosomal RNA is filed under the name uncultured bacterium. RNAcentral describes it as "partial 16S ribosomal RNA". It matches the Rfam family "Bacterial small subunit ribosomal RNA", at positions 523 to 796 of the family's 1533-position model. The record is from RNAcentral.
AUACGAAAGGUGCGAGCGUUGUUCGGAUUUACUGGGCGUAAAGAGAGUGUAGGUGGUUUAUUAAGUCGGAUGUGAAAUCCCGGGGCUCAACCCCGGAACUGCAUUCGAUACUGGUAGGCUAGAGUUCGGGAGGGGGAUGCGGAAUUCCGUGUGUAGCAGUGAAAUGCGUAGAUAUACGGAGGAACACCUGAGGCGAAGGCGGCAUCCUGGACCGAUACUGACACUGAGACUCGAAAGCGUGGGUAGCAAACAGGAUUAGAAACCCCGGUAGUCC